This 3754-nucleotide long non-coding RNA is filed under the name Triticum aestivum (bread wheat). Its description in RNAcentral is "long non-coding RNA (TAES_LNC013988)". Lineage: Eukaryota; Viridiplantae; Streptophyta; Magnoliopsida; Poales; Poaceae. The record is from RNAcentral.
CCCCCUUCAUCCUCAGGCACCCCCAAUGCUAACACUUUUAACCCUCGGGCCGCAUGUUCUCGAAGUCAGAGCACCGACGCUGAGAGGCCAAGGAGCGGUGGUGAACGCCGCCACCCCUCUCAGAUCCGGGGGUGAGAUAGAGAGGUGGGUCACCUGGGAGAGGGAGAACUAGCCCCCGCUCUCGUCACCAUGGCGCCUCCACCGCCGCCGCCACGCCAGGGGCCUCCAUCGAUCUGCACUCGCCGGAUCUGUUCAAGGAGAAUCUGGCCAUUGACUGCCGGUGCUUUCCCUCCCCCGACGGUGAGUGGUAUUUUCCCUCCCCUGCUCCCUCUCCACCCCUUCCCAAUCAGUGCUACCGUGGUUUGAUUUGUUCCAUUUCCUUUUUCUCUUCAGAUCCGCCAUGACUUGUGGUAAUUCUUCUAUCCAGCAAGCAGCUCUUCGGUUGGGAGUUGGAGCAGAAUGUAAGAUUUGGUUUAGGUUAUACGGUAUUUUGUUUAACUGUCCAGAAUCUAUUAAACAAUUGCAAAUUUGUACUACUAAUUCUUAUAGUGAAAAGUUAGACGUCAGGUCAUGGUUUGACAGGUGUAAGGUUGUGGUUUGGUAGUUUCUAGCGAUUCUGUAGUAUAAUCGAUAAAAUCUAGUAGACAUACAAGAGUAUGAAAUUUGGCUUUAUGCUCUUCUUUCCUGAUGAUGACUUCGGCGGCAAUUUUAUUUUCUUCUAUUGCUUUUAAUGUUUGUCUGCAGUGGCGGAGCUACAAAGAAAAGCCUGGGCGGGCCAAUCUAAAAAAACACGAAAAAAAUUCAACCCAAGGAAAGGAUGAUGAGCUGCUGCUGAAAAGUCUUCCUCAACUUAAUCUGUAACGUACAUCUCUUUUUUCACUUGAAAACCAAAUCGAUUUUGCAUUGAUCAGCCUUGCUACCCAGUGCCUAUGGAAAUUAUCUACUAUCCAAAUUAGGAUGUGUAUUAUCAAUUCACUGAAUUUCGGAGUGCUAUAGCCUACAUUUUAUAGGAAAAUUAGACUGCCUGGGAGAUGAGAGUUUGUGGGUUGUGCAUGUGCCUGUGCUAGUGCAGCAGCGCUCGUCGCCUAGGUCUGCACUUGCCGUCACCCGACUGGGCGCAGCCGCUGCUAGCUGCCGCCUGGGGCGUGGCCAAGCCACCGCGGCAUGGGUCGCCCUGGAGCAUCCGCAGUCCGCAUCGCUCUAGUUCUACGCUGCUACUCGCUGCGGCCGUCAGCUGGACCUUAAUUUGCGGCUCCGCCCCACCUCUCUCUAUCCCUCUGUGCAGCUGUACGUGUGGCUCGUGCCCUAGCAUGGAGGGCGACUGAGGCUGGAUGCAAGGAGAGAAGCCUGACGAGGCGAGACAGCAUGCGAGUGAGGUAGUCGUGGGCUGGCCUGCACGUAUAUAGCUAUAUUUUUACCUCAGCGGCUGGGCGGGCCAUGGCACGCUUUUGCCCUCACGACGCUCCGCCAGUGGUCUGCACCAUUCGAGCUAGCAUGUUUUGCACCAAGAAAUUAAAGUGCACAGUGUUUUUUCAUCAAAUAUUCAUCUAUAGGCGUAUGACCUUUAUUUUGUUUAUUAAAGGCAGAACCAAUUGGCAGGCGCAACAGCUGCACCAUUUAUGUAGGCAACCACCCUGCAGACAUUCUUAAGAGGGAGGUUGAGGAUAUCUUUUACACGGUCCAUAUUCAAUUUUGUGUAAUGAUUUUGGCAUUAGCUUUCCUUGUGGCUUUGGCAAUUAUGUAAAGAUAAUUGACUAUAUCACAAACUAAUGAAGUUUUUGACCAAGUUUUCACUGUAAGUUGUACAUAGUAAGGAAACUAUGCUAUAGGUUGCAGCUCAUUUACAAGGCAUUGUAAGGAAUUAAAAUCGAUUUAUUCAUGCCUUAAUUUUAUUUAUCAUUAUGCAGCAUAGACGUAUUGUGGAUAUUGACUUGAAGAUUCCUCCAUGACCUCCUGGUUAUGCUUUUCUUGAGGUUAGUAUUUUGUCAUGGUCAUGUAGAAUUUUCACUGUAAUGUGAGGCUUGUACUUAGAAUUUGUAAUAGAAGUCUUAUUGUUAUUAUUUGGGAUUCAAAAUAGUCUCUUAACUAUGUGUAUAAUUUUUGGGUUGAUAUAACUAAUGAUCUUUUUAGUCCGAGGAUCCUUGUGAUGCCGAUGAUUUAAUUUAUGGUCGUGAUGGGUAUGACUUUGAUGGCUACGGGCUGCGGGUAUGCAUGUAGUGCAUGUUGCCUUUUUUUUGCUGAAAGCAAAGACUGAUUUCUGGUGCCUGUUUUUUUAAAAGGUAUUUCUCAGGUGGAAUUCACAUAUCAUGGUAUUCCUGUAUCGCGCACAUAUUGUCAUAUCAUGGUAUUCUUAUCUUGCACGCAUAUCGGAUACAUAUUUGGAAGUAGCAAAAUGUACUGGUGGUAUAACUGCAUAUAUACAUGUAUUGUUCAUAUGCAUUGUAUGUUUCUCUAAUGUGUUCUUGUAAUAUAAUUGUUUUACAAGCACACAAACUGAGUUUCAGAUCUUUAUUUUAUAUAUAGGUCUUAGAUUUCAAUUAUAGGUCCUACAUUUUGAUUAAAAACACAAAUGUAGAGUUGUAGGGAUUUUUAGUUCUGGAUUAUUUACCUCUCAUGUCGUGGACUACAAAUAUUGUGGUUGGACGAGAACAUUUUUUUGUUGUAUUUUAAGUCAAUGCAGACUGUUGUAGUUUUGAUAUCAUGAUAUCUGUUUUGUAAACAACCUUCGAUAACCUAGUGUUUUUGCUUGGGUUGGAUAAAAGAUACUUCUGGCGUAUAGCAGAAAACCCUGCUUGAUCGAAUGCUCUUGAUUUGUUUUCUUUUCUGCUGAAGCCUACUAUUUUAUGUUGUGCUUGUUUCCAAAUUCCGUUUGACAUACCUUUACAGUGCGCUGAUUUCCAUAGCUGCUAAACGUUUCCUGUAAUAUACCCUUAUUAUCCUCUAGGCUUGGUAAGAUCGGAUCUCAGCCUAAUGCUAGAGCUCUCUUCAGAUGGUUUCGACAAUUGAGCCUGACUCGGGAUAUCAGUCCUGAAUCUUUAUUUUUUUCUCGUGAAAUACUUACAACUUGGCAACUUGGCACGAGCCGCUAUUGCCUUGCGCUCUUGAAGAUAGUUGGUGAUUUUUCACGUGGGGAUUUCUAACAAGCAAUGACUAUGCCAUCUUUAAAGUUUCUAUUUGUUUUCUAGAUUUGUUUGUAAUCCUCCUGCUGCUGCUGUCUCUCUAAUUUCUAGACUUAUGAGGUUGUUGUGAAUGGUCUGAUUACAAGGGAUGCUACACUGCCUUAUCAGUAUGAUGGUUUAUGAUAUGUUGGCGAGGCUGUGCAAGGUCCAUUGCAUGGCCAUCUAGCAAGGUAAACACCAACCAUGUAUUCAGUAUAUUACUCCGAAUACCUUGAUAAUUUGUGUAAUGACCCUAUGCCAUUGCAGAAGUUCUUGUCAACAUCCUGUUGGGAAGGAAAUGCAUAAAGAACCUAGUAUUCGGUUGUCCGCAUCAAUUGGAUGAUUUUGUAAUGGAGGACAUUCCUUGCUAUUUGGAGAUGCUGCAUCUUUAGCUUUCAUUUUGUAAAACUGGAUCUAUGUCGUGUCUUUUGACACUCAACCAACAUGUGUAAUGCACUUAAUUAUCUUUGUUUUUGUAGCAAUCUAGGUGUAGUGACUCAUUAGAACGAAUGAACUAUUUGUAUGUGUGAUGAUCUAAUGUAUGAUGCUAUCAUUUUUUCCGUUGUGUCCUUCUGGAUUUAAGAUUAUGCAUGUUG